GCAUAAAUGGAGCAAGUAUCAGGCACGAGAAUUCAGCCCAAAACACUAAGCUAUGCCACACCCACACGGGCCAUCAGCAGUGAUAAACAUUAAGCAAUAAGCGAACACACACCCCAAGCUUGACUUAGUUAUAAUGAAACCAUCACACCUUUAACAAAAGGUAACUUGAACCACGAAAAUUAAGAAACAAACUAGGAUUAGAUACCCUACUAUGCUUAAUCGUUAAUAUGACACCCCAAUACACAAGAUGUCCGCCAGAAUAUUACGAGCGAAAAGCUUAAAACUCAAAGGACUUGGCGGUGCCCCACACCCGACUUAGAGGAGCCUGUCCUAUAAUCGAUAUUCCACGAUAAACCUCACCAUUCAUUGCCAAAUCAGCCUAUAUACCGCCGUCGUCAACUUACCCCAUGAGGGUAAAACAGUAAGUAUAACAGCUAACUAGCUAAAAAGUCAGGUCAAGGUGUAGCUUAUAGAAUGGAAGAGAUGGGCUACAUUUUUUAAAAUAAAAUAAACGGCAUGGAACCAUGAAAUUAGUUCCUAAAGGAGGAUUUAACAGUAAAAUUAACAAGAAAAUUAAUUUUAAACACGCUCUGGGGCGCGCACACACCGCCCGUCACCCUCUUCACAAAACACUACUUCAAUAUAUAAACAAUAAAAACCAAAAAGAAGAGGCAAGUCGUAACAUGGUAAGCGCACUGGAAAGUGCGCUUGGAAUAA
Molecule: ribosomal RNA, 717 nt
Filed under: Holbrookia lacerata
Lineage: Eukaryota; Metazoa; Chordata; Lepidosauria; Squamata; Phrynosomatidae
Description: partial 12S ribosomal RNA
Rfam family: Bacterial small subunit ribosomal RNA
Source: RNAcentral